RNAcentral lists this non-coding RNA (29 nucleotides) under Rattus norvegicus (Norway rat). The record is from RNAcentral. Lineage: Eukaryota; Metazoa; Chordata; Mammalia; Rodentia; Muridae.
UGACUCCUUACUUGGAUGUUGGGUAAAAC